AAUUACUCUGAUUUCUCAUUGUUUUAAAUGUUUCAUUAAAUUAUAAACAUAAUCAUAUGUUUUGUUCAUAUAUUUCAUUUAAUAUAUCACACUUAUAAUGAUAACAUUUAAAACAUAAUUGCUUCAGAAUCUAAAUCAAUGCCGUUUUUAUACUAAAAAGCAAUAACGGUUAUUUUAUGUACUAUUUCAGAUCAAUAUUUUGCUAUAGUUGCUCGUUUUCAAAGCAUUUCACACAAUAAGAUUAACAAUCAUGGACAUAAAUUCAUAUAUGUCUGAAGAGAAUAGAUGUACCCUGUAGAUGGUUCGACUGGAGUAAUAAUGAAAAGACCAGUAAGAUGAACACUAAAGAAGAAGAUUUCAUUACCAGAUGAAAGGAAUUCCACUGGUAACAGUCAUGAACACAAAUUGACAACUGGUAUUUGAAUCGCCUUUAAUUGUAAUAUCUCUUCAUGGCAGUGGCAUAACAGAUGAAAAAGAAACUAUCAAACAGUUCAAAGAAGAAUUACAGAAAACUAAG
Ruditapes philippinarum (Manila clam) is the source of this 517-nucleotide long non-coding RNA. RefSeq lists it as uncharacterized. Lineage: Eukaryota; Metazoa; Mollusca; Bivalvia; Venerida; Veneridae. The record is from RefSeq and is a predicted model, not a curated record. The transcript is spliced from 2 exons.